RNAcentral lists this ribosomal RNA (297 nucleotides) under uncultured eukaryote. RNAcentral describes it as "partial 18S ribosomal RNA". It matches the Rfam family "Eukaryotic small subunit ribosomal RNA", at positions 1470 to 1796 of the family's 1831-position model. The record is from RNAcentral.
CCCUUAGACGCUCUAGGCGGCACGCGCGCUACAAUGGGUGGUAGAACGUGUAACUGCUCCCGAAAGGGAGGGUGAACCACGAAUACUUACCCGUGAAUGGGAUAGUUUGUUGCAAUUUUCGGACUUGAACUAGGAAUCCCUUGUAAGAAUGCUCAAGAAUAGCGUGCUGAAUACGUCCCUGCCGUUUGUACACACCGCCCGUCGUUUCUUCCGACUGAUACUCAUUGUGAGUUGCAAGGAUUCUUAUUGAAAAAUUGCUGUGAAUGCUUUGUAUUGGAGGAAGAAAAAGUCGUAACA